AGUGUGUUAUUGAGUCUCAAGGAAAUGAAAUACUGUAACAGUUCAGUGUGUUAUAGUGACUCCAGGAGGUGAACUACCGUAACAGUUCAGUGUGUUAUAGUGACUCCAGGAGGUGAACUACAGUAACAAUUCAGUGUGUUGUAGUGUCUCUAGGUGGUGAAGUACUGUAACAGUUCAGUGUGUUAUAGUGUCUCUAUCAAGUUAGUGAACUACUGUAACAGUUCAGUGUGUUAUAGUGUCUCUAGGAGGUGAAAUACUGUAACAGUUCAGUGUGUUAUAGUGUCUCUAUAAGUUGAAAUACUUUAACAGUUUAGUGUGUUAAGGUGUCUCUUGCAGGUCAACUCCUGUAACAGUUUAGUGUGUUAUAGUGUCUCUAGAAGGUGAACUACUGUAAGAGUUCAGUGUGUUAUAAUGUCUCUAGAAGGUGAACUACUGUAACAGUUCAGUGUGUUAUAGUGACUCCAGGAGGUGAACUACAGUAACAAUUCAGUGUGUUAUAGUGUCUCUAGGAGGUGAAAUACUGUAACAGUUCAGUGUGUUAUAGUGUCUCUAUAAGUUGAAAUACUUUAACAGUUUAGUGUGUUAAGGUGUCUCUUGCAGGUCAACUCCUGUAACAGUUUAUUGUGUUAUAGUGUCUCUAGAAGGUGAACUACUGUAACAGUUCAGUGUGUUAUAGUGUCACCAGCAGUUGAACAACUGUAACAGUUCAGUGUGUUAUAAUGUCUCUAGGAGGUGAACUACUGUAACAGUUCAGUGUGUUAUUUUGUCACCAGCAGGUGAACAAUUAUAACAGUUCAGUGUGUUAUAGUGACUCUAGGAGGUGAACUACUAUAACAGUUCAGGGUGUUAUUGAGUCUCAAGG
Molecule: long non-coding RNA, 862 nt
Filed under: Salmo salar (Atlantic salmon)
Lineage: Eukaryota; Metazoa; Chordata; Actinopteri; Salmoniformes; Salmonidae
Description: lncRNA (ENSSSAG00000106693.1)
Source: RNAcentral